RNAcentral lists this ribosomal RNA (253 nucleotides) under uncultured bacterium. RNAcentral describes it as "partial 16S ribosomal RNA". It matches the Rfam family "Bacterial small subunit ribosomal RNA", at positions 524 to 776 of the family's 1533-position model. The record is from RNAcentral.
UACGAAGGGGGCAAGCGUUGUUCGGAAUUACUGGGCGUAAAGGGCGCGUAGGCGGUGCACUAAGUCAGGCGUGAAAGCCCUGGGCUCAACCCGGGAAUUGCGCUUGAUACUGGUGCGCUUGAAUCCAGGAGAGGUUGGUGGAAUUCCCAGUGUAGAGGUGAAAUUCGUAGAGAUUGGGAAGAACACCGGUGGCGAAGGCGGCCAACUGGACUGGUAUUGACGCUGAGGCGCGAAAGCGUGGGGGGCAAACAGG